RNAcentral lists this unclassified non-coding RNA (358 nucleotides) under soil metagenome. RNAcentral describes it as "partial contains 5.8S ribosomal RNA, internal transcribed spacer 2, and large subunit ribosomal RNA". The stretch from base 1 to 120 matches the Rfam family "5.8S ribosomal RNA", at positions 35 to 154 of the family's 154-position model. The record is from RNAcentral.
GAUGAAGAACGUAGCGAAAUGCGAUACGUAGUGUGAAUUGCAGAAUCCAGUGAAUCAUCGAAUCUUUGAACGCACAUUGCGCCCGUCAGUAUUCUGGCGGGCAUGCCUGUUCGAGCGUCAUUACGCCCCUCAAGUCCCCUGUGGACUUGGUGUUGGGGAUCGGCGAGGCUGGUUUUCCAGCACAGCCGUCCCUUAAAUUAAUUGGCGGUCUCGCCGUGGCCCUCCUCUGCGAAGUAGUAAAACACUCGCAACAGGAGCCCGGCGCGGUCCACUGCCGUAAAACCCCCCAACUUUUUAUAGUUGACCUCGAAUCAGGUAGGACUACCCGCUGAACUUAAGCAUAUCAAUAAGCGGAGGA